AUUGAACGCUGGCGGCAGGCUUAACACAUGCAAGUCGAGCGGAGAUGAGGUGCUUGCACCUUAUCUUAGCGGCGGACGGGUGAGUAAUGCUUAGGAAUCUGCCUAUUAGUGGGGGACAACAUUCCGAAAGGAAUGCUAAUACCGCAUACGUCCUACGGGAGAAAGCAGGGGAUCUUCGGACCUUGCGCUAAUAGAUGAGCCUAAGUCGGAUUAGCUAGUUGGUGGGGUAAAGGCCUACCAAGGCGACGAUCUGUAGCGGGUCUGAGAGGAUGUUCCGCCACACUGGGACUGAGACACGGCCCAGACUCCUACGGGAGGCAGCAGUGGGGAGUAUUGGACAAUGGGGGGAACCCUGAUCCAGCGAUGCCGCGUGUGUGAAGAAGGCCUUAUGGUUGUAAAGCACUUUAAGCGAGGAGGAGGCUACUGAGACUAAUACUCUUGGAUAGUGGACGUUACUCGCAGAAUAAGCACCGGCUAACUCUGUGCCAGCCGCCGCAGUAA
RNAcentral lists this ribosomal RNA (501 nucleotides) under uncultured bacterium. RNAcentral describes it as "partial 16S ribosomal RNA". It matches the Rfam family "Bacterial small subunit ribosomal RNA", at positions 30 to 523 of the family's 1533-position model. The record is from RNAcentral.